UUUUCAGAUGGUAGUACAGCAGAUCACUUGAUGCAUGCCGAGACGGAAAUUCACAUUCCUACAACUUGGGAAAGUAUCAACAUCUUACAUUAAACAAUGGACUAGAAGAUUCUGAUAAUAAUAAUGGUUUUAUGCAAUAUGGCAGUAUAAUAGUAGAUCACACAAGGCAUGCUGAGACAUUUAUUAACAUUUUCGGAAUUUGGGAAAGUUUCAACAUCCCACAUUGAACAUGGACUUGAAGAUUCUGAUAAUAAUAAUGAUUUUAUGCAAUGUACUUGUAAUGAAUAUAAAAUGUAAUUGAUAGUAAAUUAAUAGUAGUGUAUCAAUUGAAAUUUGUGAAAAAUAUGAAUAUAGUAUUGGUAAUCAAAA
Molecule: long non-coding RNA, 369 nt
Organism: Rhopalosiphum padi (bird cherry-oat aphid)
Lineage: Eukaryota; Metazoa; Arthropoda; Insecta; Hemiptera; Aphididae
Exons: 2
Source: RefSeq, a predicted model, not a curated record